This 468-nucleotide ribosomal RNA is filed under the name uncultured bacterium. Its description in RNAcentral is "partial 16S ribosomal RNA". It matches the Rfam family "Bacterial small subunit ribosomal RNA", at positions 28 to 507 of the family's 1533-position model. The record is from RNAcentral.
GACGAACGCUGGCGGCGUGCUUAACACAUGCAAGUCGAACGGAAAGGCCCUGCUUUUGUGGGGUGCUCGAGUGGCGAACGGGUGAGUAACACGUGAGUAACCUGCCCUUGACUUUGGGAUAACUUCAGGAAACUGGGGCUAAUACCGGAUAGGAGCUCCUGCUGCAUGGUGGGGGUUGGAAAGUUUCGGCGGUUGGGGAUGGACUCGCGGCUUAUCAGCUUGUUGGUGGGGUAGUGGCUUACCAAGGCUUUGACGGGUAGCCGGCCUGAGAGGGUGACCGGCCUCAUUGGGACUGAGAUACGGCCCAGACUCCUACGGGAGGCAGCAGUGGGGAAUAUUGCACAAUGGGCGGAAGCCUGAUGCAGCAACGCCGCGUGCGGGAUGACGGCCUUCGGGUUGUAAACCGCUUUCGCCUGUGACGAAGCGUGAGUGACGGUAAUGGGUAAAGAAGCACCGGCUAACUACGUG